AUACGGAGGAUGCAAGCGUUAUCCGGAUUUAUUGGGUUUAAAGGGUGCGUAGGCGGUUUGCUAAGCGGGAGGUGAAAUGCCGGCGCUCAACGUCGGAAGUGCCUCCCGAACUGGUGGACUGGAAUGACUCUGCCGUGGGAGGAAUGUGUAGUGUAGCGGUGAAAUGCUUAGAGAUUACACAGAACACCGAUUGCGAAGGCAUCUCACGAAGGGUUGAUUGACGCUGAGGCACGAAAGCGUGGGGAUCAAACAGGAUUAGAUACCCUGGUAGUCCACGCAGUAAACGAUGAUGGCUAACCGCUGGUUUUUUCGGAUCAGUGGCCAAGCGAAAGCGAUAAGCCAUCCACCUGGGGGGUACGACCGCAAGGUUGAAACUCAAAUGAAUUGGCGGGG
This 393-nucleotide ribosomal RNA is filed under the name uncultured bacterium. RNAcentral's name for it is "partial 16S ribosomal RNA". It matches the Rfam family "Bacterial small subunit ribosomal RNA", at positions 523 to 918 of the family's 1533-position model. The record is from RNAcentral.